This 449-nucleotide ribosomal RNA is filed under the name uncultured bacterium. RNAcentral describes it as "partial 16S ribosomal RNA". It matches the Rfam family "Bacterial small subunit ribosomal RNA", at positions 29 to 523 of the family's 1533-position model. The record is from RNAcentral.
AGCGAACGCUGGAGGCAAGCUUAACACAUGCAAGUCGAGCGCUGUAGCAAUACAGAGCGGCGGACGGGUGCGUAACACGUGGGAAUCUGCCUUUAGGUUUGGAAUAACUCAGGGAAACUUGAGCUAAUACCGUAUAAUGUCUUCGGACCAAAGAUUUAUCGCCUAAAGAUGAGCCCGCGGUAGAUUAGCUAGUUGGUGAGGUAAUGGCUCACCAAGGCUACGAUCUAUAGCUGGUCUAAGAGGAUGAUCAGCCACACUGGGACUGAGACACGGCCCAGACUCCUACGGGAGGCAGCAGUGGGGAAUAUUGGGCAAUGGGCGAAAGCCUGACCCAGCUAUGUCGCGUGAAUGAUGAAGGCCUUAGGGUUGUAAAGUUCUUUUACCAGGGACGAUGAUGACGGUACCUGGAGAAAAAGCCCCGGCAAACUUCGUGCCAGCCGCCGCCGUAA